Molecule: ribosomal RNA, 441 nt
Filed under: Breviceps macrops (desert rain frog)
Lineage: Eukaryota; Metazoa; Chordata; Amphibia; Anura; Brevicipitidae
Description: partial 16S ribosomal RNA
Rfam family: Bacterial large subunit ribosomal RNA
Source: RNAcentral
UUCAACGGCCGCGGUACCCUAACCGUGCGAAGGUAGCGUAAUCACUUGUCUACUAAAUAUAGACCAGUAUGAAUGGCCCCACGAGGGUUAUACUGUCUCCCAACUUCAAUCAGUUAAACUGAUCUCCCCGUGAAGAAGCGGGGAUAUAACUAUAAGACGAGAAGACCCCAUGGAGCUUUAAACUAAGAGUCAACUAUUUAAUAAAAUACCCCAAAAUAUACUAGCUAUGACCUCAAAGUUUUCGGCUGGGGCGACCACGGAGUAUAACAAAACCUCCACGUUGAAAGGACAUUAAAUUCUUACCAAAGAGCCACACCCCAAAGGAUCAUAAUUAUGACAUCUCUUGACCCAAACCUCUUGAUCAACGAACCUAGUUACCCUGGGGAUAACAGCGCAAUCCAUUUCAAGAGCCCCUAUCGACAAAUGGGUUUACGACCUCGA